CCUACGGGGGGCUGCAGUGAGGAAUAUUGGUCAAUGGACGAGAGUCUGAACCAGCCAAGUAGCGUGAAGGAUGACUGCCCUAUGGGUUGUAAACUUCUUUUAUAAAGGAAUAAAACGAGGCACGUGUGCCUUUUUGCAUGUACUUUAUGAAUAAGGAUCGGCUAACUCCGUGCCAGCAGCCGCGGUAAUACGGAGGAUCCGAGCGUUAUCCGGAUUUAUUGGGUUUAAAGGGAGCGUAGAUGGGUUGUUAAGUCAGUUGUGAAAUUUUGCGGCUCAACCGUAAAAUUGCAAUUGAUACUGGCAGUCUUGAGUACAGUUGAGGUAGGCGGAAUUCGUGGUGUAGCGGUGAAAUGCUUAGAUAUCACGAAGAACCCCGAUUGCGAAGGCAGCUUACUAAACUGUGACUGACAUUGAUGCUCGAAAGUGUGGGUAUCAAACAGGAUUAGAUACCCGGGUAGUC
Molecule: ribosomal RNA, 460 nt
Filed under: uncultured bacterium
Lineage: Bacteria
Description: partial 16S ribosomal RNA
Rfam family: Bacterial small subunit ribosomal RNA
Source: RNAcentral